This 82-nucleotide ribosomal RNA is filed under the name Staphylococcus aureus. The record is from RNAcentral. Lineage: Bacteria; Bacillati; Bacillota; Bacilli; Caryophanales; Staphylococcaceae.
UCUGCUGACUAUAGCAAGGAGGUCACACCUGUUCCCAUGCCGAACACAGAAGUUAAGCUCCUUAGCGUCGAUGGUAGUCGAA